Molecule: long non-coding RNA, 669 nt
Filed under: Helianthus annuus (common sunflower)
Lineage: Eukaryota; Viridiplantae; Streptophyta; Magnoliopsida; Asterales; Asteraceae
Description: sRNA HanXRQr2_Chr06g0238121
Source: RNAcentral
UGGUCACAGCUUCGUGACCCUCCACCUCCUUGUUGCAACCCUAAUCCAUCAUCUGCUGCCAUACGUUCAACUUUCAGCGCUUAUCCAACUGUGAGAAAAUUUUGAUAAUAUCAAAUUUCCACAGUUCAUCAACCUCGAUUGAAGCUCGUCUUGGUUUGCCGUUUAUGCCAUCAUUCUCCAUUGAGGCACUCAAGCAGCUUUCUUUGCCCCUUCAAAUGUACUUUCUCUCUCCGAUGAGAAAGAAGAUAUAAAGAAGGCUAUAAGACCGUGGGAGAUGAAAGAUGAAGAGGUGGAAUUCUUUAGGGAAAAUUUGCUGGCACUCAAGCAGUACGAGCUGUCAAGGCAGAAACAAUUGAAGAACUCGAAAGUUGCAGCUUCAGGUUCUUGUUAGACACUUAGACAUCUAUGUUGUUGGAGGGAUUUGAUGGUUAGAUGUGCUAAUAGGUUGCUGAUUGGGGCUGCUAUGGGGAGAAUAGAGGCCAAGACGACUAGGAAGCUGAAGAGAAGAUUAAUGUCUUGUUUUUAUGAGUUUGGUUUAUUUUUUUAUUAUUGUUUCUUUGUUUGGUUUCUUUUAAGAGGUUAAUGGUUCUGGUUCUACCCCUCUUGUAAGGUAAAAGGAAUGUACCAUAUGGACCAAUGUUUUAUGAAUGGGUCGAUUUGGGUUAUUUU